GGCAUGUGCAGGUCCAUUCCGUGUCCACGACGCAGCCUGGGGGAGGCAGGGAGGUUGGGGAAGAGCAGUCAGCCCUGGCCUCGGUCAGCCCAUGGCUUCAAGGAGAGGGGUGACAUGGUGUGGCCUUCACUCAGGGGCGGAGGGCUGGAGUCCUUUGGGUGUGGGAGACCUGGGGAUCCAGUGGUCUCAGGCCAGCCAGGCAAGCUUCACAGAAACGUGAGCCCCAUGUGAGGCCUGGAGCACAGGCUGCAAUCCGGAGGUAAGUGACAUCUGCAGGGCCCUGGGAGUAGGGGCACCCAGGCCAGACAGGCCCUGGCAGCUGGGAGCUGUGGGUAGGUCUGCUGGAAUGGGCUAUGGAGGGACAGAGGGGCCUGAGGGAGGUACCAGCUGGUGGGUGCUAGACACAGGCAGAGGCCUUUAGAUGUCCCCUGAGUUCAGGCAGGGCUGUGUGGGGACCACCAAUCGUCCUUUCUGACCACAUUGGGGGCUUCCUGAAACUGGGGGGAAACUGCAUGAGCUGUUUACCCUGAGAACCUGCGUUUUAGUCAGCUUUCCCACCGCUGUGACUAAAGGACCUGAGCAUGCCAACUGCAGAGAAGGAGUACUUUAUUUGAAGUCUUAGUCUGCAGAAGGUCGGCUCCAUUGAUUGGGCUCCAAGUGACGCUGAACGUCAUGGUGGGAGAGGGUGGCAAGGGGAAGCAGCUCACGUGGUGAUCAGGAAGCAGAGAGACUCCACUCACCAGAUGCAAAUAUAUACCCACAGCCACGCGCCAAUAACCACCUCCUCCAGCCACACCCCGCCACUUUAGUUACCAGUUAAUCCCUCCAGGAGAUUAGAUCACUGAUUGGGUUAAGACUCUCACAACCCAAUCAUGUCUCCUCUGAACCUUCUUGCGUUGUCUCACAUGUGAGCUUUUGGGGGAGACCUCACCUCCAAACCAUAACACGUGAGGACUCCAUGGUAGGAAUGUGGCGCACUGAGAAGGAACUAUAGAACUAGGUCCACCUCGCCAGCUCCUAUGGGCCUGAGUGGCCUCUGGGACUUUCCCCUCAAAUCCCCGGCCUCUGUCUCCUUCCUGUCCUCACCCUUCUCAGGUGAGCUUGGGGGUGGGGAGCCAGCUCCACAGUGGUCAGGCAGGGACAGGCGGGGCUGGCAGGGUUCCAGACAGGCCAGGGAUGCUGCUGGCCUCAGUGGGAGAGAGCAGGGCUCCUGAGACCAGUUACCCCUGCGCAGGGCUUAGCGUUGCUACGAAUAAAGUAGCCCCAGCCCCCACAGGUUGCACACACUCCUUCUGUGAAGUCUGACAAACAAAUGUCAGAUUCGCCACUCUCCCAUUGGCCCUGAAUGGGGUUUUUCAACGCGGAUCACACAGAGGCGCAGGUGCCUGCUCCCCCGUCAGGACUGAUGGCGUGUGGCCAGGAGUGGCGAGGGCACAAGUUUCUUCUGCUGGCUUCUGCUGUAGAAAGUCACCUUGCCAAGGCUAGACCUCCCUCCCCCAGGCCAGGGCGCCCUGCCUUCCGACUGACUGGCCUGGGGUCUGGGGCCCCGACGUCCCUUUCCCAGCUUGGGCAAGUCUGGAGGGCUUCUCCUGUCCUCAGGCCUGGCGAGGCCCUGGGCCCUGGGCUUUCCCCGGGGCCUGCAUGACAACCCACUCCUCCUGUCCUGUGCUGCCCCCUGUGCUUCUUUUCCCAGAGCCAUCGAC
RNAcentral lists this long non-coding RNA (1703 nucleotides) under Marmota monax (woodchuck). Lineage: Eukaryota; Metazoa; Chordata; Mammalia; Rodentia; Sciuridae. The record is from RNAcentral.